AAGUUGAGAAAGAUGGAGGCGGGAUGGGAUGAGGAGAAAAUCUGAGAGAGUGUGUGACAUUCAUGGAUUCCCCAAGGAUGAAUAUAAGUGAUGUGAAAUGGAUACAAUAUCAAAUUAAAACUCACCUCUCUACCAUACCAGACACCUGAAAAUGUUUCUUAUAUUGGUAUAACAACAGAGAAUUUAAGAUGGCUUGUUUAUGCUAACAACAACAACAAUAACAAUCAUCUAUAUUGUUAUCACGGCGACAGUUAUAUUGUUAUCAAAGAGUCAUUAGAGACUUGGAUAGAAUGCCUUGCAGUGUUUUUUCUCUCCCUCUGCAUCUUGAGUUCAAAUCUCGUCAAGAUCAACUUUUCAUUCUUUUGGGGUCGAUUAUUAUUUGUAGGCCAUUUAAAUAGUCUUUUGUGUCACAAUUUAAUUUUUGCUUACACAAGCAUUGACAGUGACAAACAACUUUGCCAAUUUGCUACUUGAAUAAUGCUUUAUGUUUUCUACCAUACGCACACAAACGUUGAAAUUUUGGAGGAGGUGGAUAGUCAAUUACAUCAACCUCAGCACUCAAAUGGUACUUAUUUCCAGGGACCCAAGAAAGGAUAAAAUGCAAAGUUGACCUCAGUGAAAUUUGAACUCAGAACAUAAAGAGGGACAAAAUGCCUAUUUCUUUACUACCCACAAGGGGCUAAACACAGAGAGGACGAACAAGGACAGACAAACGGAUUAAGUCAAUUACAUCGACCACAGUGCGUAACUGGUACUUAAUUUAUCGACCCCGAAAGGAUGAAAGGCAAAGUCGACCUCGGUGGAAUUUGAACUCAGAACGUAACGGCAGACGAAAUACUGUUAAGCAUUUCGCCUGGCGUGCUAACGUUUCUGCCAGCUCACCACCAAUCAUUUUAUCUGCUGUACCAAUGAUACUUUCGGCUUGCCUCCUUCUAAAUAAUUCUUUUAAAUUUUAGUAGAAGGGCAAGCAAUUUUUAGGGGAAGGAGUAAGCCGAUUACAUCUACAUCAGUACCCAGCUGGUAUUUAUUUUAUCGACCUGAGAAGAAUCAAAGGUAAAGUCGACUUCAGCAGCAUUUGAACCCCAAAGGGAUAGAGCUGGAUGAAAUGCUGUCAAGCAUUUUCUCUAGCAUGCUAACAACUCUUCUCGCUCAUCAGCAUUUGCUGGUUUAAUAAUAUCAGUCGCUGUAGAAAACUCAGUAUGAAUCCAGUUUCAAACAAUGUUUUAGAAAUGAAAACAGUAAAAAAAAAACAGAACAAAAUGAAAAGAAAUAUUAAAAUUAGAAUUAGUUUAUUUUUCCCAUUUUAGUUGUAUUUCUUUUGCAUUGAACAAAGUGAACCAAGAUGAAAUUUUCUAGAAACCAGGAGAAACAAUAGCAACAACAACAACAGUUAUGAUUAAUAAUAAUAAUAAUAAUAAUAAUAAUAAUAAUAAUAAUAACGAUCGCUUAAUAACCAGGCUUUAAGCCCCCUUUUUUUUUUCUUUUAAUCAAGGUAAGUAGAGUUAAGAGCCUUAUCCAGAAACAUAAUGCAAUACUUGUAGCAGAAAUAUAAAAAAAGACAAAAAACAACAAAAACAAUAACCCAUCAGAUGAGUCUGAUAGCUUUUAUUUACACCUCAGUAAUAAUAAUAAUAAUAAUAAUAAUAAUAAUAAUAAUAAUAAUAAUAACAACAACAGCAACAAUAAUCAUGUAGAUGAUGAAGAUGAUGAUGACAAUGAUGAUGAUUUAAUGAAAGCAAGAAAAGCAAUAUUAUCAUUAUUAUUAUUAUUAUUAUUAUUAUUGUUAUUAUCAUCAAGGCAGUGGAGUGGCAGCAACAGUGGAGGUGACAGACUAAAUUCUAGCAUUCAGUUUCUAUCAUCUAUGCUCUGAUUUCAAAUUCCACCUGCUGGAGUUGACUUUGUUUAUCCUUGUGGGGAAUGGAUGGGGGAGGUGUAGGACGUGGUGGUGGGCGGGGGGUCAAUAAAAUAAGUACCAGUCAGACAUGUGGGGAAUAGAUUUACUCAUUUAUUAAUAGUCAUCAAUCAUCUAUCAAUAGUCAUCACCUGAAGAAAUUUUAGGGGCUUUGUUUCAAUGCAAUAAAUAAUAUUGUUAUUAUUAUCAUUAUUAUUAUUAUUAUUAUUAUUAUUAUUAUUAUUAUUAUUAUAAUUAUUAUAAUCAUCAUCAUCAUCGUCAUCAUUAUUAUUAUUGGUAAUAACAACAGCAAAAAUAAUACACAGGUAGUUAGUUACACAUGAGUAAAACACUGAGAUCUAGACUAGAGAAUGUUAGGAAACUGGAUUUUUUUCUAUUAAUUGUGAAAGUAGUCAGUAUCUUCAGAAGAACACGAAAUGAAAUUAAUGGCAUGGAUCAAGCCACAUGAAAUACUGUUUUAGUUAUUUAUCAUUAUUAUUAUUAUUAUGUGUGUGUGUAAUGAGAAGGUUUAUAGUUGUAUAUGUUAAUUAACCCUGAAAGAAUAAAACAAAUUUCAACCUUGGCAUGGUCUGAUCACUGAAAUUAGAGCCACUUAACUAAACACAAUGCUGUAUUUAGUGAUUUAGUGUGGUGCUCUACUAACUGUGCUACAUUAAAAUAAAUGAUAUCAAUUGAGGAAUAUAUGUACAAAUUUCCGUCUCCUAAUGUAUUUAAAAAAAAAAGAAAGAAAGAAAACAGUGGUUUACAUGUUAGGAUACUGGCCUGUGUAUCACAUAUGCCAAGUCUGCUACAGGUAUUUGUAGUAUGUCUUUGGAUAAAGUAUAAUACUCUACAAGCCAAAUUCUUCUGUUUAACUGGAGAAAGAAACAGUAUCAUUUCCACUAUAUAAAACAGCAGUUGGUGUGUGAAGAAAUUACAAAAAAAAAAAAAGAAAAAAAUUUAAAUGUUCUGUGAAAAUAUGAGAAAACAUGUAAAUAUUCUAACUUAACCAACUUAUUUUAAAACAUGAAAAGUAGUUUAUAAAAAGAAAAGGAAAGAAAAAUAACAAACAUUCAGUGCUCGAUACCAAUGUAUGUCACCUGUGAGUUUGGAAGCGGAUUCAAUUAAUAUUAACUUCUAUCACAUUUUUGGUACAAAUCUGCUUUUUUUUUUUCUAGUAAAGAAAACAAAUAGAAUUGUGUGAACACUAGCUUCAACAUGAGAACAUUUGUCAUCAGUAAACCAUCAAUGUUACUGUGUAAAUGAUACAUAUCAACUGAACAAACAAAAUAGUCAAUACUAGAAUGGAACAGAUUCUUAAAUAUGUAGGCAUUUUUCACACUGUAGGUGCAUCAUGUCACCAUAUGAGUUUUCUCCCCUGCAGUUGCAGGGCAGUGGCAGGGGAAACAAUUCUAGAGAAAAUGCAAUGUGCUAAAGGUUAAAAAAAUUAAAUAAAAAUAAAAAAAAACACAGGAUACAAGACCAUUGAAGAGAGUCUAAAGAAAUUUUUUUCCAGUUUUAUUUCUGUACUAAUUCUUGCAUAAAAUAAUUUUUUCCAUGAAGAUUUUUUUUUUAAUCUUCUAGAUCAAUUAUAAUAAAAUUGUGUAUUCUAUAUCAUCUUUACUACAGUACAUCAUGGCAACUAGUUUUGAAAUAAGAAUUACGGAUGAAAAAAAAAAAAAAAGUGACAUUUUCUGAAGGUUUAAUCAGAAAAGAAACAAUAAUCUUUUCACAUGAAACAAUUGUAUAUUUUCAGUAAAUAACAUUUGUUAGAAAGAACAUGCAAUAUUGCAGCUCAGUAUAAAUAUGUAUUUUUUUUUCUCAUUAUGAUAAAAGUGAUGAUAAUGAUGAAGAUGAUGGUGAUAAUGAUGAUUACAAAACAAGAAUCUUAAAGAAGCAAACAUUGAUUGUUUUGAUAGUGUAGACUAGACAAUUUAAUUAAUGAAUGCACGGAUUAAUUUGCUAUUUUCUCUACAAUGUUAAAUAUCUUUAAUAUGAUAAUAGCUGGAUGAAAGCCAGUUGGGCUUCAAAUACAUGGAUUAAAAAAAUAUGAUGUUUGCUUAAAUUGCAGACUAAUUUAUUUCUUAAUCUUGGAUAUUCAUCAUAGCAGUCACACUAUCCAUGAUGAACGACAAACAAUAAUUUAAAAUAAAUUCAAUCCCCAGAAUUACAGAGACAAAUAACUGUAAAUGAAUUCAUUGAAGCAGUACAGAAGUUAGGAACUAAAUGCAUGGGCAUCACAGAAGUGAUGACAAGGGACUAAGACUUCUGGUGGUUUGCUGUGCUUGAGAAGACAUGUCAAGCUAAGUAAGUUCAUGCCUGUCCAUGUAUAUAGGCAUGUCCUCUUCAUCCCUCUCUCAGCCAAGAGAUCCUAGUCUUGCAGGCUGUGGGUGCUGGUGCCACUUAAAAGUGCCUGUGCUGGUGUCAUAAAAGUAGCUGUGCCUGUGCCACUUUAAAAGUGCCCAUGCUGGUGCCACAUAAAAGCACCUGGUACACUCUGUGGUUGCUGUUGGGAAGAGCACCCAGCCAUAGAAACCAUGCCAAAACAGAUAUAUGGAAUCUGGGCAGCUAUCCAGUUGGCCAACUCCUGUCAAACUGCCCAACCCAUGCCAGCAUGGAGUAUGGAUGUUAAAA
This 4525-nucleotide long non-coding RNA is filed under the name Octopus vulgaris (common octopus). Lineage: Eukaryota; Metazoa; Mollusca; Cephalopoda; Octopoda; Octopodidae. The record is from RNAcentral.